ACCCGGGGCAACCCCCUCCGGCUCCGCGGCCUCGGCCAUGGCCGCAGAUCCCUGUCCUUGAUCGGGACUCCUUCCUUGACGCUGCUUAAGGGUCGGUGGCGCUGGGCAAGGGGCGUGCUACGGGGCCCUCUGUGCUCCUUGAAGGACGCCGGCUCCGGGAUCCUGCGGCAAAGGUUUAGCCGGGGCACUGGGGCCUUGCGCAGGACCCGCAGGGCAAACUCCGCUUGGCCCCAAGCCUCUGCGCCCCUUCUGCCCAGCUGAAACUCCCUGGACUCUUCCUCCACUGCUGGAGCUUCUCCCCGAUUGCGCGUCUGCUUCCCACCGGGACCCCAAUCUCGCCCGCGGGCCGCGGAGGUGCAGUGCACGGCUGGAGAGGGCUGCUUCGCUCCUGCGCCUUUGGAAGUGCCCGGCCCGCUGUCCGCUGUCCUGGGGUUGACCAGAAGUCCUUGGUGCCAACUCCAUCCCCUGGGGCUUGGGCGGGGUUUGUCUUCCCCUCCUCCCUCCUUUGUUUGGGUAGCCUAGGAGCUUGGCCAAUGACAGCCUUUCUCGUGACCCUUGUGGAUGUUGAUGAAAAGAUUCUGGUUCUCCUGGCCGCUUGGGUGUUGUUCUCUAGAAUGGCUUCAAGUUCCAGAGUCACUUAAAUCACCCCCUCCAAACACACACCCCGACACCCAAACACCUAAUCCCCACCUUACCCCAGGAGUGAAGCAUCAAGCUCCCCCGGUACCCAACUGAAGAUGUCCACAUUGUGCCUGAUGUCCAAGAGCAAGGGUGUAAAUCCCUGAGAGAAGAAGCUGGGGAGGCUACGCUGGCCGCCUUCCCAUGUCUGCAGGGCCCCCGGAGAGGUUCCAGAGGCCCCUCAUAUAGACGCACAAGGAGCCAGUCGAGUUUCUCUGACCAGAGAUGGGCGCUGUUGUCCAUGAGGGUCCGCUUCUCCGGGCCUGUCUGGAGGAUCGUGGGAGCCCUGCGCUGGAAAAAGGUUACACCUUCAUCUCCCGGGUCUCUUAAGACUGACAGGAGCCCAGAGACACUCAGCUUCAUGCUACCUUUCUCCAAGGCUG
This 1061-nucleotide long non-coding RNA is filed under the name Homo sapiens (human). Its description in RNAcentral is "HSALNT0273113". The record is from RNAcentral. Lineage: Eukaryota; Metazoa; Chordata; Mammalia; Primates; Hominidae.